This 253-nucleotide ribosomal RNA is filed under the name uncultured bacterium. RNAcentral describes it as "partial 16S ribosomal RNA". It matches the Rfam family "Bacterial small subunit ribosomal RNA", at positions 524 to 776 of the family's 1533-position model. The record is from RNAcentral.
UACGAAGGGGGCUAGCGUUACUCGGAUUGACUGGGCGUAAAGGGCGCGUAGGCGGUUUGUACAGUCAGACGUGAAAUUCCUGGGCUCAACCUGGGGGCUGCGUCUGAUACGUGCAGACUUGAGUUCGGAAGAGGGUCGUGGAAUUCCCAGUGUAGAGGUGAAAUUCGUAGAUAUUGGGAAGAACACCGGUGGCGAAGGCGGCGACCUGGUCCGAUACUGACGCUGAGGCGCGAAAGCGUGGGGAGCAAACAGG